UACGGAGGGGGCUAGCGUUGUUCGGAAUUACUGGGCGUAAAGCGUACGUAGGCGGCUUUGUAAGUUAGAGGUGAAAGCCCGGGGCUCAACCCCGGAAUUGCCUUAAAGACUGCAUCGCUUGAACGUCGGAGAGGUGAGUGGAAUUCCGAGUGUAGAGGUGAAAUUCGUAGAUAUUCGGAAGAACACCAGUGGCGAAGGCGGCUCACUGGACGACUGUUGACGCUGAGGUACGAAAGCGUGGGGAGCAAACAGG
This 253-nucleotide ribosomal RNA is filed under the name uncultured bacterium. RNAcentral's name for it is "partial 16S ribosomal RNA". It matches the Rfam family "Bacterial small subunit ribosomal RNA", at positions 524 to 776 of the family's 1533-position model. The record is from RNAcentral.